Molecule: transfer RNA, 71 nt
Filed under: Bacteroidota bacterium
Lineage: Bacteria; Pseudomonadati; Bacteroidota
Also listed under: 2 other names
Description: tRNA-Gln
Rfam family: tRNA
About the family: Transfer RNA (tRNA) molecules are approximately 80 nucleotides in length. Their secondary structure includes four short double-helical elements and three loops (D, anti-codon, and T loops).
Source: RNAcentral
AGUUCAAUGGUGUAAUGGUAGCACAACAGUUUUUGGUUCUGUUUGUCUAGGUUCGAAUCCUGGUUGAACUA